This 336-nucleotide RNase P RNA is filed under the name human gut metagenome. RNAcentral describes it as "Bacterial RNase P class B". It matches the Rfam family "Bacterial RNase P class B". Rfam says of the family: Ribonuclease P (RNase P) is a ubiquitous endoribonuclease, found in archaea, bacteria and eukarya as well as chloroplasts and mitochondria. The record is from RNAcentral.
UUGACAAACGCUAUAUCAAAAUAGAUAUAGAGGAAAGUCCAUGCUCUCACAAUCUGAAAUGAUUGUAGUGUUCGUGCUUAAGGAAAAAAUAACUUAAGGUAGAGUAAUCUAACGGCGAAGUAAAGACCUAAGUCUUGUGAUAUGGUCUUCUUCUGAAAAGUGCCGCAGUGACGAUAUUCUAAGAAAUUAGAAAGUGAAACGUGGUAAACCCCGCGAGAGAGAAACCCAAAUUAUGGUAGGGGAGCUUUGAUAAGGGAAUAACAACCGAAUCAAGGACUGAGAAAUCAGUAGAUAAAUGUUUGUCACCUAGAAAUAGGUACAGAACAUGGCUUAUAA